GGUGUAGCUUAAUGGUAGAGUGCUUGCCUAGCAUGCAUGGGGCCCUGGGUUCAAUUCCCAGUGCC
RNAcentral lists this transfer RNA (65 nucleotides) under Ictidomys tridecemlineatus (thirteen-lined ground squirrel). RNAcentral describes it as "Spermophilus tridecemlineatus (thirteen-lined ground squirrel) tRNA". It matches the Rfam family "tRNA". Rfam says of the family: Transfer RNA (tRNA) molecules are approximately 80 nucleotides in length. Their secondary structure includes four short double-helical elements and three loops (D, anti-codon, and T loops). Further hydrogen bonds mediate the characteristic L-shaped molecular structure. tRNAs have two regions of fundamental functional importance: the anti-codon, which is responsible for specific mRNA codon recognition, and the 3' end, to which the tRNAs corresponding amino acid is attached (by aminoacyl-tRNA synthetases). tRNAs cope with the degeneracy of the genetic code in two manners: having more than one tRNA (with a specific anti-codon) for a particular amino acid; and 'wobble' base-pairing, i.e. permitting non-standard base-pairing at the 3rd anti-codon position. The record is from Rfam by way of RNAcentral. Lineage: Eukaryota; Metazoa; Chordata; Mammalia; Rodentia; Sciuridae. RNAcentral also lists the same sequence under 1 other name.